This 7496-nucleotide long non-coding RNA is filed under the name Prunus persica (peach). RNAcentral describes it as "long non-coding RNA (PPER_LNC002831)". Lineage: Eukaryota; Viridiplantae; Streptophyta; Magnoliopsida; Rosales; Rosaceae. The record is from RNAcentral.
UCAAAGCAGCACUAACCCAAGUUUGGACAUCACUUAUCAUGAGCUGAAAAUCAUAGCUUUUGAAGUUACCCAUCUCAGCUAUAGAACUCUGGAGCUCGUCCACCGAGUCACUUAACUCUUCGAGGCAGUCUCUCAUGGCACCAACUUCUUUAGGCUUCAAGCCAUGGCUUUGGGAGAGUUUUAGCAUCACGGCAGAGGUGGAUUUGGCAGAGGAAAGUGUCACAUUAAGGGCUGCACCAGCCAUGAGCUUAGGACUUGUUUGGAUUGUGCUUGCAUGGCUUGAGAGAGAGGUGAGGCAGAGUUUAGGGUAGGUUGUUGCACUGCAAGAUGUUUUGAUGAAUUCAGUGUUGGUUUUUGGUGCAAGGUCUCUGGCUGCUGAGGUUGAGGAGAUUAUGCAGAAACUAAUGGAAAGUGCUGUGAGAAAACAUGUGGCAAAAUGUGUAGAAGAUGAAGAAGACUCCAUCUUGAUAUUUUUGUGUCUCUGAAUAUUGGAGGCAGUGGAGGGAGUGAUGAGAGUAGGGAGGGAAAUGUGCCAAUUUAUAGAACCCAAGUUCGAAAAAAACAACAAAAUCCCUAAAAUAAAAUAAUAUUGAUGAUAAUAAUAAAAAAUUCUAGCAGCCUCAAAAUGAAUAUGGAAAAAUCUUGUCGGGGGGGCCAAAAGCCGAGAUACAUCUACUCUUUAACAUAAUAUGAAGUAGCAAGUUGGUUUCUUUGGUUUCUCAACUUGCUGCAACAAGUUGGUCGAUUUGGGUCUAAAAGCAAAAGCAAAUGUGAAACAAAAGAGCCUUGGUCUCCUACUCAUCUAAACCUUCAUAAUCAAAUCAAUCGCACCCAAAGUUGAUGGGUGAGCCAGUCGACUGCUGUGUGUAUCUGUAUUUUUGCAACUUGAGCGUUUUUGGUCGACAUGUAUAACAAUAAAAAUCUCUCCCCUUAAAAGAAGCACUCCAAAAGGGAUUUAAUGCAUGCAAGAGUCCAAAGGGCCAAUCAAGAUCAGGUGGAGAUUGAUUGGAGUGGAGUGGAAGGCUCCAAACGGUACUAUUUUUUAUUUGAAAAUAUUUUUGGCUGAUUAUUUUUAAUACUUGACACGUGUUUAUAAGUAUAAUAAUUGUUAACUUUAUGGAUCUAUUGUUAUGCAUAUGAACACGUUUUAAGUGUUGAGAAAUGUCAUGAGGAUAAAUCUUGAGUUAAAAUUGUAAGAAAAAUGCUUAUUUAUUUAUUUAUUUAAAUUUUAUAAGAUUAUAGAAAAAUUUGGGCCCAGACAAAAACAAAGCUUCAUCUUUGGGCCUACUCUAUAACUAAGCUUCAUGAUUUUUAUUGAUGAUACAGCACACGUGAUGGUCCAAACAAAAUAAAAAUAAAAACAAAAACUUGAGUUAUGCCUAUCCCUUCUCAACGCGAAUCUAUGAUGCUCAUUGGCCUAAUUAUCAACAACAGCAAACCAAACCAUGUGCAGACUGCAAACUAGAAAAGAAAUGAACUUUUAAAAACAGCAAUAUUGCACAAGUCAAAAGAUGGCAUUUUAUAAUUUAAUAUAAUGAACGAAUUAAACUAUUGAGUUCCAUUUUCUCAAUAAACAAACCAAUUUCGAUGCUUUUCACGUAACACAGUUGGAACUUGUUUGUUACAUAGCCCAUAUAACCGGAAAUUCAAACACAUGCAUUUCUGGUAACUUAGUUGAAUGUUAUCUACUAAUUCACCACAAAUCAUGGUCAUGUGAAGUGGGAAUAUUAAGAGGAGGCUAAGUUUUUUUGGGGGGUUACAUAACUUGUUAUUGUUCUCGGACAAAAAAAAUACGAAGCACAAUUUGUUUCAUCAAUAGUCUAUCGUUUAGUAUCUAAUUAUGUCUAGUUUUUUUGCGUUAGUGUAAGUUUUAUGAAUAUAAGAGAUAGUCUAAACUAAAAUGGAAAGGAUGGUUUCUCACAUGACACUACUACUAGCCUAGAUCCCGUUAAUUGCAAUGAUUAAAUUUUCUGUAGCUGGAUUGGGCUAAAUAUUUUGUUUUGCCAACAAAAAUGAUUGGGAAUUUGGAUGAACCGUUACAUUAUUUUACUACACGUUUUCAAGAAAUUAACGGAAAAACGUAAUCCCUGUUUUCUUCCAUAAAUUAUGGGAUUUGGAAGUUAAGUUAACGGGUACAUAGUGUAGCCGCCUUGAUCACUCGCACGUUGAAGUGUAAGAUUCUUAUUCAAAUGCAAAUAAUGCAAACAUACACGUGGAAAAUGACAAGUGGCUAGACACCUGUGGUUGCAGCAAUGUUGAAGUUGGCAGAAUCGUAGAGAAUCAAGACCGUAGGCAAGUCCACAUCUCUCAACAGAAACACCGCCUAUCGUCCAGCAGCGUUUCACGCUACACUUACAAUGCAUGCGGACAUGUGUUUUGCCUGCACGUUCUUGUUCGGUUUUGACUUCUGAAACGUGAAUGAUUCGUGUCCAUAUCUGUUAGGGUAGCCACAUGGCACACCUUAGGCCCAUGCUGCCGUAUAUCCUCACUUCCAGUAAACAAAUUCAAUACACUUUCUUUUCCGUAUAUCCUCACGUAUUUCAUCUCAUUUUUUCCUUGCAAUUACAUUAACCUCAAAUGCUUCUUUCAUAGUUUUUCUUUAAUAUAAGUGAUUUUCUAUUUUAAUUUUACAGGAAAGGGGAUUCGAACUUGGAUACAUAGUGGAGAAUACAUCCGUUCUAGCCAAUUUAACUAAAUUCAUGUCCACGCUUCUUUGAUAGUUAAAUCAAUUUUAAACAUUAACAAUAUUAAAAUUGAAGCAAAGUCUCUUCAAUCUAUACCAAUUAAGUAUUCUAAGCCGGCAGAGUGAGAAUGAUUUAAUUUUGAUUUCAAAAGUGCAAAGGUGGCUAUUGUUGUAAGCCUUUGAAUUAAGUAUGUUUUGACAAGAAUUACCAAUUUAGCACCCGUUUAUGCACAUAGGUUAUUUGGUCCUUUGGGAUCAUUCUCCAAGAUAUUCUCCCUUGUUUUUGUUCAUAUGUUUUUAUCUACAUUAUUAGCUCUUAAAUUUUAAUUAUUUUUUAUCUGUUGGGUCUGGCGCAAGAUCCAAAACGUACACUCAAGCUAGCAAAUGAACAUGCGCCAUAUCAUCUUUUGCUUAUACUUUAUUUUUAAAAAAAUAGAGGGGCCAUUAUGAUUUUUAAUUUGGACUUAUAAAAUGGCUAGCUUGGACUUUAUUUAUCUUUUAUUUUUUAAUACGCUUUGAGUUUCAAAGUCACCUGAGAGUUGCCUAUAAAUUGGCAACUGGCAUCCCAUCACAAACACACACAGUUCCAUAAAUUCAAGAAAAUAAAAAAUGGGAGCUCAAAAUUUCACAACCCCAACCUCAAAUUCACACAAUGCUCUCACAUUUCUCCUCCCAAUUCUCCUAUUGAUCUUCAUGCCAAACAUGCACACAACAUUGGCAACUUCUUCUUCUUCUCAGACCUACAAAACCUACGUCAAAACUGCCUGCAACACAACCACAUACCCACUCAUUUGCUACAAAUCUCUCUCCUCAUACGCCUCCAAAGUCAAAUCCGAUCCUCAAAAGCUUUGUACCUAUGCCCUCUCCGUUACCCUAAAAGCAGCAAAAAACGCCUCUUCCGUAGUUUCAAAGCUUUAUAAAAAUACAGGAUUAACCCCAUCCGAGAAAGGGGUGGUCAAGGAUUGUAUAGAGAAUAUUAAGGACUCCAUUGACGAGCUCAAACAGUCGGUGAGUUCCAUGAGCAAUUUGGGGGUUUCGGGUUCCGACGUGCAAUUACAAUUGGAUGAUAUAAAGACUUGGGUGAGCGCCGUCAUCACGGAUGACGCUACUUGCACGGAUGGAUUUGAUGGUGUGAAGGUAAGCGCCGCGGUUAAGACCGCCAUCAGGAACAGCAUUGUGAAUGCUGCUAGGUUGGCUAGCAAUGCUCUUUCUCUCAUAGACAGCCUCAUUUACUAGUUCAACCCAUACCCUUUGUAUUUCCUUGUCUUUUUUUAUUUUUUAUUUUAUUUUACUUUGGUUGAUAUAGAAAGUUUACAGAUUUUAUAAUUUAUGUGUGUGUUUAAUGUAAUUAAAAGUUGUGUGAAAUGGUUUUGUGACUGUUGGAAGAGUGGUUUGUAUACUACUACUACUAUAUGUAAUGUUGUACAACAGAGGGAGUUUUGAGCAAUUUGAUAACAAAUAAGCAAACCCCUUAGCCCCCCAUGUUGAUCAAAGAUCCCAUCUAUAGUAAUUGGCGAUCGACAGAACUUUUAUUCUAUAGUUGUCUUUUAACAUUUUUGUUUCCGGUGCAUAAGAGCUUCCUAUGCGUGUAUUCUCAAAACAAAUAUAUAAAAAAUGAAGAUCUUCCCAUUCCCAUGUGAGUUCACAUUGAUGCAUGUAUGAAUUAUUCCAAAACCCUGUUUAUAAUAAUCCAACCCCGCAUCUUUCAGUGUAAAAUGCAAAUGCUAAACUAUUAUUGCCCAAUUUAAUUAUUUGCCAAACGUUCGGUGAAAUUAAAAGUCAAAGACGACAUGUAAGACAUGCAUGCAAGUUAAUAUUAGGGCUAGUUUGUUGGGGAGGAUUAGGCUAGACUAGAGAAGUAAAGUGAUUAUAUUUCAUGUGCAAUCAAUACAUAAUAUGGAUAUUGUUGUCUGAUUUGGAGGAUGAAAUUGAAUGAUGACUAUUCAUAAGAGGUUGAUGAUUAAAACUUAUCCCUUAUAAUCUCAUCAUUUUUAAGGGGAUAAGUUUUAGUCAUCAACCUCUUAUAGAUAGUCAUCAUUCUUCUUCCAAGUUCGGCAAGAUAUCCAUAUUAUGCCUUGAAUGCACAUGAAAUGUAGGCAUUUUACCAGUUUAGUCCUUCCUAUCACACAAGUGAACAAUUUAUUGACAGUGGCGCACGGUUUUAAUUUUUUUUGUUUAAUUAGAUUAUAAUUAUUUUAAAUUAAUGAGAGUUACACUUGAAGCAUGUGUUGUCAUAGAAGUAAUAGUGAACUAAAGCAAUGGUUAAUCUUGCAUAAUUAGUGUUUUUUAUUUCGAAAAAAGCAGCUAUGCAAACGUAAGAAAUGAAAUGAAUGUGUUGUGACUGUAAAUACAGUAGUUUUAUGCACAGUCGUCAGUUUUUCUUGUUGGUAAACAGUUCGUAAUUGAUAAAAUUCCCACACGGCAUCUCGGGUUUGUGAUGUGAGUUUUCUCCAAGCGCAAGGGUUUAUAAGUCAAAUUUUAAAUUGAUAUAUUCUUGCAUUAAUUCAAGCAUGGGAAUGGGGAUGAUCACAUGGAGAAUACAUGAUCUAAUGAUUCGAUAUCUUUUUUAGUCCUUUCGAACUUGUUCUCUUAUAAUUAAUUGAAAUUAGAAUCUCUAGAAAUUUUAAUUAAAAUAUGCUUGCAUUAGGUCAGUGGCACUACCCAACCAUCCAUCACAAUUACACAAACGUCCUUGGAAACCAUGUGUUAAGGUUCAACUGACUAUUUACUAAUAUCGAUACUAUCUUUAAUUUAACCAUCAUAUUCUGGCAUGUAUAUGUGUAAGAUUUUAUACAAAAUGUCUCGAUACUAUUUGUAGUGAAACUUUAUAUUCUUCAACACCAUGAAGAGCCAAAUAUCAUGAAUCUCUUUUAUAUCUUGAAAUAUUCAAAUAAUAUAUUGUGAAAGGAAAGGUAAGUCAUUAUAAGUGAUGGGUGCCCAUGCCAUUGCGAUUUGCCUACGUACGUACACCAUUCUAGAUGGAUAGAUUUAUAUACGACCUGAUUGGGGAAAGGAAAGGAACGCCUAAUAAAAUUCAUUCUGAAAUCAUGAAUUGAAAACUUUAUUGAGGCAUAAACUAAAUUCCAGAGCUGCGGCUGUGGAUAAGACACGAUUCUUGACUUAUAUUUAUUGAAAUAUAUCUAAACUUUGCACCACCCAUUAUUUACCAAUUUCUGUGUUUUUAACGUGAAGGGCAUGAAAGGAACAAGAUGAUAUGUCGUCUCGCUUUUUCUUUUUUCUUUCUUUUUGGUUAAGAUAUAUAUAUCUAUAUCCUCUUGCUUUUUGAUUCAUAUGUUAAAAGGAAAAGCUCAAGGAUUGCAUAAAGACAGAAACUUCGUUGCGGUGUCCCAAACCCAAUCCCCAAUCUUCAAUCCCAUCCAUUAGAUAUUUGUUGGCCAAACCAAAUGCAUGUGAAGUCACCUUGUAGUAAAUAGAUUGUUGACACGUGGUCUUCUUCAUCUUCAUAUUCAAAGCCUCACUCUCUCACGUGGUCAUCGUCACUACGCAACUUCCCACAAACGUCCCUCUUUGUCCGCUCCCGACAGUUUCACCUUUCACGCUCUCCAAUUUUGUUUUCACACUCAACAGUGUCAACACCACUCAUCCAUAUCUGUUUUUAGUUAUUGCUUUUCAUCACUAGUAUUAAUUCUUUAUGCGCACAAACGAUUCUAAAUUAUUGAUGCUUAAAAUAGAUCAGUGUGAGUAGUUGAUGCAUUAGAAUUCUGUAAAAUUAAAAUUUAUAAUUACGAACACGAUGCAUUAACGACUUACAGUCAUACACACACAACUAAGACUCAUAAUUGCGCACACGAUACUUCAACUUCUCACAGUUGUGCACAAGUCCUCGCAUGCAUUCUAGCAUAAUUUGGAAAUAAUUAUAGCCAAAGUUCAACUGUUAUUUUACCAAAAGAAAAAUAAAGUAGUUGUACGGACAUGGGGUUCCUUCAUGCCUCCCUUGAAAUAGUCUAAAACAGUUCAAAAGUUCCAAAAUCCAGAUACCAAAACAAGCAGCCUUCAUAGCUUCACACAUACAGACAGAGGAUUCAGAACACUUAAAGCAUAUUUUCCAUCUCUUCUAUAUCACAUACUGACUGAACUAUACAUAUCAAAACCAAACCACAUCAAAAUAGUUCUUACAUAAGAAAAAACAAAACAAAAACAAAAACUCAGAUUCAGAAUCUGCAGCUGUCAUCAGUGCUUGGAGGCAAACCUGUUGCACAAGGCCAAAGCAUUGCUAGUGCACUGUGCAACAUUAAGCACCUGAGCUCUGAUUGAGGCCUUGAUUUUGCCAUCCAAGGCCUUGCCAGAGAACCCAUCAAGGCAAGUAUUGUCAUCAGUCAAAGCAGCACUAACCCAAGUCUCCACAUUGCUCAUGUGCCACACGAAAUCCUGGCCCUUGGAUUUGCCCAUGUUCUUUAGCUCCUGGACUGAUUUGCUGAGCCUGUCCACGGUAUCACCCAUCUCCUCCAAGCAGUCCUUGACAGCUCCGUACUCCCUAGCCUUCAGCCCCUUAAAUUUGGCCAACUUGGUCACAAAUGUCUUGGCCUUUUGAGCCCUGGUUAGGCUCACGGACAGGGCAGCCUGGGCCAGCUGCCGAGGGCUUUGCUGGAUUGAAGUGGCGUAGGAAGAGAGGGAUUGGAUGCAGACUUGUGGGUAGGUGGUGGCGCUGCACGAGCUCUUUAUGAAAUUUGUAUCACUUGUUGUGGCUGUAGAGUUGGCUGUGCCAACAAAGUAGAAAAUGGGAAGUAGCAGCAAAAAAAAAGAGGCUCUAGCCAUUGAAGAAAAGCUUCAAACUUUGGACUGGGAUUUGAGA